This 496-nucleotide ribosomal RNA is filed under the name uncultured microorganism. RNAcentral describes it as "bacterial SSU rRNA". It matches the Rfam family "Archaeal small subunit ribosomal RNA", at positions 234 to 734 of the family's 1478-position model. The record is from RNAcentral.
UGUUGGGGUAACGGCCCAACAAGCCGAUAAUCGGUACGGGUUGUGGGAGCAAGAGCCCGGAGUUGGAUUCUGAGACACGAAUCCAGGCCCUACGGGGCGCAGCAGGCGCGAAAACUUUACAAUGCGGGCAACCGUGAUAAGGGAACCUCGAGUGCCUGUAUAUGCAGGCUGUCUGGGUGUCUAAAACACACCUAAAGAAAGGGCCGGGCAAGACCGGUGCCAGCCGCCGCGGUAAUACCGGCGGCUCGAGUGGUGGCCACUUUUAUUGGGCUUAAAGCGUUCGUAGCUGGGUUAUUAAGUCCCUUGGGAAAUCCGACGGCUUAACCGUCGGGCGUCUAAGGGAUACUGGUAAUCUUGGAACCGGGAGAGGUGAGGGGUACUUCGGGGGUAGGAGUGAAAUCCUGUAAUCCUCGAGGGACCACCUGUGGCGAAGGCGCCUCACCAGAACGGCUUCGACAGUGAGGGACGAAAGCUGGGGGAGCAAACCGGAUUAGAU